AGAGUUUGAUCCUGGCUCAGAUUGAACGCUGGCGGCAUGCUUUACACAUGCAAGUCGAACGGUAACGCGGGUGCUUGCACCUGGCGACGAGUGGCGAACGGGUGAGUAACACAUCGGAACGUAUCCUGGAGCGGGGGAUAGCCCGGCGAAAGCCGGAUUAAUACCGCAUGAUCUCUGAGGAGCAAAGCGGGGGAACCGUAAGGACCUCGCGCUGUUGGAGCGGCCGAUGCCGGAUUAGCUUGUUGGUGAGGUAAAGGCUCACCAAGGCCGCGAUCCGUAGCUGGUCUGAGAGGAUGAUCAGCCACACUGGAACUGAGACACGGUCCAGACUCCUACGGGAGGCAGCAGUGGGGAAUUUUGGACAAUGGGGGCAACCCUGAUCCAGCCAUGCCGCGUGCGGGAAGAAGGCCUUCGGGUUGUAAACCGCUUUCAUACGGAACGAAAUGGUGCAGGUUAAUACCCUGUAUUGAUGACGGUACCGUAAGAAGAAGCACCGCUAACU
RNAcentral lists this ribosomal RNA (502 nucleotides) under uncultured bacterium. RNAcentral describes it as "bacterial SSU rRNA". It matches the Rfam family "Bacterial small subunit ribosomal RNA", at positions 8 to 502 of the family's 1533-position model. The record is from RNAcentral.